AUGGAAGGCGGCGUAGGAGCAGAAGUCGGCGAUGGCCAGCAAGGCAAGGCCGUCGCAAUGGCUGGCAGCACAACAGGCGACCAUGGCGGAUCUGGUCCUGGAGGCCCUCGCCAUUCUCAGCCAACCAGGUUCCGCCCUCGUUUGCUCUCGUGGGUCCUUCGGCGUCAGCGGAGCGGUGUUGGAGCCAAAAUUUCCAGGUUCCUCGAGCUGGACGAGGGAUCAGGGGAUGGGGGUGAAGCCAGUGUCUGGCAUGUAGGCGCUGUACCCUGCGGUGGAGCGGCUCAUGCGGCUGGGCAGGAUGGCACAACAGCAGGUGCUGGCCAAAAUGGUGCAGCAGCAGGUGCUGGGCAUGCUGGUCUUGGGGCUGACCAGGACGCCGUGGAGAAUGUAGAAUUGAUUGUGUGCAUC
Molecule: ribosomal RNA, 408 nt
Filed under: Triticum aestivum (bread wheat)
Lineage: Eukaryota; Viridiplantae; Streptophyta; Magnoliopsida; Poales; Poaceae
Description: partial small subunit ribosomal RNA
Source: RNAcentral